This 1072-nucleotide long non-coding RNA is filed under the name Cricetulus griseus (Chinese hamster). Its description in RNAcentral is "lncRNA (ENSCGRG00015042138.1)". Lineage: Eukaryota; Metazoa; Chordata; Mammalia; Rodentia; Cricetidae. The record is from RNAcentral.
GGGACAUUUGUAUUUGCUGCAAAGUGGAAUGGAGUCAUUUUCCUGCAUGAUUCUACAGAGGCUGAACAUGGUGUAAUUGGGAAUAAUAGCCAGAAAACGCGUCUAGCUGUCCUUCUUUCCAUGGAGUGGGCAUUUAGUGGAGUCAAGCCUCGCAAGGAGCACAGCUCAGGGGAAGUACGGAAGAUUUGUGUCUUCAGUCCUAUCCAGCUGUGGCCCAACGGCCUGGACACAGAGCAGGCAGAUCUGGCCAUAGGAUCCAAGUCCUUCUAAGUCAAGGACCUUUACCCAUGCUGUUGGCUUUAUAUGAAAUGUUUUUCCUCCCUUACUUCAGAUCCCUGCCAAAGCCUUGCCAGAGAGCCUUCCUUGAUUUCCCAGAGACCAGCCUUACCGCUAGAGGGCUCUGCUUGUAAAGGCUCUUGCCCUCAAGCCUGAUGACCUAGGUGUUGGAAGGAGAGAAUUCCUGCAAAUUGUCCUCCGACCUCCAAGUGUGCGCUGUGGCACAGAGACAUAGUCCAUGACCAUCAUGGCUGGAAAGCAGACAGACAUGAGACUGGGGCAGUAGCUGAGAACUUUACAUCUUGCCCAAAGGCAGCAGGCAGGCAGAGAGAGAGAGAGAGAAAGAGCAUGGCAUGGGCUUUUGAAACUUCAAAGCCCAGCCCCAGUGCACAUUUCUUCUAACAAUGUCACGUCUCCUUCAGUGAGGCCAUACCUCCUAAUCUUUGUCAAACAGUUCUGCUAACUGGGUACCAAAGACUCAGAUAUUAGCCUACGGGGACCAUUCUCCUUCAAAUCACCACAGCUGGUUUCCUAGGCAGAAAAUGCCUCCCACACAGGAAGAAGGCCUGAAGCAGAAGAAUCAUGAGCUCAGAGUUAGCUUGGGCUAUCCAGAAAGCUCAAAGACAACCAGAGCUACAUAGUGAGAUUGAUAGGUGCCUCAGUUAUAAAAACAGCAUUUCUGUGAGGUUACAACUGGCCAUGGUCAAGCCAUUAUCAUGCCUGAAAGGAAGUGUUUUGCUGAAACAACCUAUCCAGGAAGAUAGUCUUUGACUGAGCAGACAAUACCAGGAAGGAC